This 146-nucleotide small RNA is filed under the name Paenibacillus sp. P22. Its description in RNAcentral is "PyrR binding site". The record is from RNAcentral. Lineage: Bacteria; Bacillati; Bacillota; Bacilli; Caryophanales; Paenibacillaceae.
AAUUCAUUUGCGGCAGCUGUGAAAAUGAAAUGGUUCAGACGGAUGUAAAGGACGAGAAAUACCCCUUUUAUGUCCAUCAGAUGAAGCAAAUAUGGGUGCAUAAGAAUGUCUGAGCUUUCUUCCUGCGGGAAGAAAGCUUUUUUUUU